RNAcentral lists this ribosomal RNA (378 nucleotides) under Triticum aestivum (bread wheat). RNAcentral's name for it is "partial small subunit ribosomal RNA". The record is from RNAcentral. Lineage: Eukaryota; Viridiplantae; Streptophyta; Magnoliopsida; Poales; Poaceae.
AUGUGGACCGCAUCUUCAUCAAGCAAAAAAUUAAAGUAUUCAGCAGCAAUGGGGAGGAGACCUGAGCUGAGCAGAUCCAUGACAUGUGAUGCUGCAUAUAUAUGCCUCCAGCAGUGUGCAUUUCCUGGCCUCUCAAACAUGUAUAGGUCUCACAGCUUGAGAUUCCAUCUCCUGUACAGUACAGCCACAAGUCAGAGCCUACCCCUCUACCUACUAGCCUCCUUUCCUCUACAUACAUACAUACAUACAUACAUACAUACAUACAUACAUACAUACAUACAUACAGACAGACAGAGCAGAGCAAUUCCGGUGGAAGUUCGUUCGCCGGCGGAAGCACGCGCACCAGCCGCCCAAGCCCGAGCCGACGGCCAUCAGUAG